GGAUGGUUCAAGUGCAGUGGUGUUCACAACUAACUGAUCAGAACCAGUUACAGGUAUCUUUGUUUCUGUCCACUCCCACUGUUUCACCUGACCCGGUG
RNAcentral lists this non-coding RNA (98 nucleotides) under Castor canadensis (American beaver). Lineage: Eukaryota; Metazoa; Chordata; Mammalia; Rodentia; Castoridae. The record is from RNAcentral.